AUUUCAAUUCCUCAUAGGUAGGCUAUAAAC
Non-coding RNA from Sulfobacillus acidophilus TPY, 30 nucleotides. Lineage: Bacteria; Bacillati; Bacillota; Clostridia; Eubacteriales; Clostridiales Family XVII. Incertae Sedis. The record is from Rfam.